Molecule: non-coding RNA, 113 nt
Organism: Solanum lycopersicum (tomato)
Lineage: Eukaryota; Viridiplantae; Streptophyta; Magnoliopsida; Solanales; Solanaceae
Source: Rfam
AGGUAUUCAACAGGGGCAACUUGAGAUCACAUGUUGUCAUUUUUUUCUUUUUGAUUUGAUUCGAUGAAUCAGUAUCUCAACAUGUGUUCUCAGGUUACCCCUGUUGAAUUAGU